Wasmannia auropunctata (little fire ant) is the source of this 993-nucleotide long non-coding RNA. RefSeq lists it as uncharacterized. The record is from RefSeq and is a predicted model, not a curated record. The transcript has 2 exons. NCBI's taxonomy places the organism in Eukaryota, Metazoa, Arthropoda, Insecta, Hymenoptera, Formicidae.
UCUUCUGUCACUUACGAGCAGAAUUCUGGCUAUUGGCGCAACAUUGAAUGUUUAUUCCAAAUUAUCUCAUUCGUGAUACAUAGACAUACAAUGCAACAUUUACGUUAGAAUUUUUAAUAAGGCAUGCAGAAAUUGUACGAAAUGGCUGACUAUCUUAGCCAAUGAUUGGACUUCGAUUGGCGGCCAUCGAAGCGGUCGACACUCUCGAACUGGUCGAUGCAUCAGGUUCUGCAGCAGGUCUAAUCACGUUCCUUUUUCUCGUGCGUUUUCUCGACGGUAAGGCAGACCAAGGGUCAGUGAUUGGUCGAGACGGGAGAAGGGGCCUAUGCGGCCCUAAGGCCCCCAUCCGAGAUCGGCCGUCCUACCACCACGGGGAUACCUUUGACGGGUCGGCAAUAAGAACAAGUAUGAAAUCAACCUCCCGACAGACAACAGACUCUAUCAGAUGGUAAUUAUGUGUAUGGCUGAUACAAGGAGAUACGGCCCGAUAUGCACCUAUAUCCGAAAUCUAUACUGGGUGUCAAACUCUGAAAUAGAAUUCUUCGUUAACGAAAUGCCAGCUCGAGUGAACGCUCAAGUAUUGUACUUCUCUUGUGGCAAUAAUGCGAGACCGAGUGCACAAAAAAAACAAUUCUCUGCCUCAAGUUUGUUAAAUGUCGUGAAACUGUACGUCAACAUCUUUUCGAUAUCAUCGUGUUACAUAAUUUUUGAGUAUAGUGUUUCAGUGGGAUAAUUAUACGAGCAGGUGCGAUAGCUCUCUUCGAGCCGUUAAAUUACGUGUACACUGAAAUAAUCUGGCAUGUGCGCAUCAAAUUGAUUAAAGAACGUACUACAUCAUUUUCUUAACAUUGCGGCGUCACUUGAUCUUUUUAAAAUUUAUCUCAAAAAGACGCGUAUUCAUAUAUCUUUUACUGAAAGUAAAAUAAAUUUACAAAUACAUCGAUGUAUUUAAACGUUGCUUAGCGAUCAAUAAUUACGAUUAAUAAUAUUGAA